AGGCGUAUAGCUCAGUUGGUAGAGCGGCGGUCUCCAAAACCGCAGGUCGAGGGUUCGAAGCCUUCUGCGCCUG
This 73-nucleotide transfer RNA is filed under the name Treponema sp. Its description in RNAcentral is "tRNA-Trp". It matches the Rfam family "tRNA". From Rfam's summary of the family: Transfer RNA (tRNA) molecules are approximately 80 nucleotides in length. Their secondary structure includes four short double-helical elements and three loops (D, anti-codon, and T loops). The record is from RNAcentral. Lineage: Bacteria; Pseudomonadati; Spirochaetota; Spirochaetia; Treponematales; Treponemataceae.